This 193-nucleotide ribosomal RNA is filed under the name uncultured Veillonellaceae bacterium. RNAcentral's name for it is "partial 16S ribosomal RNA". It matches the Rfam family "Bacterial small subunit ribosomal RNA", at positions 157 to 334 of the family's 1533-position model. Lineage: Bacteria; Bacillati; Bacillota; Negativicutes; Veillonellales; Veillonellaceae. The record is from RNAcentral.
CGACUGCUAAUACCGCAUACGAUCUAACCUUGGCAUCGAGGAUGGAUGAAAGGUGGCCUCUAUUUAUAAGCUACCACUGAAGGAGGGGAUUGCGUCUGAUUAGCUAGUUGGAGGGGUAACGGCCCACCAAGGCUAUGAUCAGUAGCCGGUCUGAGAGGAUGAACGGCCACAUUGGGACUGAGACACGGCCCAG